GGGCCCGCACAAGCGGUGGAGUAUGUGGUUUAAUUCGAUGCAACGCGAAGAACCUUACCUGGGUUUGAACUGCUGGGGACCGCCUCAGAGAUGAGGUUUUCCCUUCGGGGACUCCAGUAGAGGUGCUGCAUGGCUGUCGUCAGCUCGUGCCGUGAGGUGUUGGGUUAAGUCCCGCAACGAGCGCAACCCUUGUUCCUAGUUGCCAGCGGUUCGGCCGGGGACUCUAGGAAGACUGCCGGUGACAAACCGGAGGAAGGUGGGGAUGACGUCAAGUCAUCAUGGCCUCUAUGUCCAGGGCUACACACGUACUACAAUGGUCGGUACAAAGGGCUGCGAACCCGCGAGGGGGAGCCAAUCCCAAAAACCCGGCCUCAGUUCGGAUUGCAGUCUGCAACUCGACUGCAUGAAGGUGGAAUCGCUAGUAAUCGCGCAUCAGCAUGGCGCGGUGAAUACGUUCCCGGGCCUU
Molecule: ribosomal RNA, 466 nt
Filed under: uncultured bacterium
Lineage: Bacteria
Description: bacterial SSU rRNA
Rfam family: Bacterial small subunit ribosomal RNA
Source: RNAcentral